GACGAACGCUGGCGGCGUGCUUAACACAUGCAUGUCGAACGGUAAGGCCCUUCGGGGUACACGAGUGGCGAACGGGUGAGUAACACGUGGGUGAUCUGCCCUGCACUUCGGGAUAAGCCUGGGAAACUGGGUCUAAUACCGGAUAGGACCACUGCCUGCAUGGGUGGUGGUGGAAAGCUUUUGCGGGGUGGGAUGGGCCCGCGGCCUAUCAGCUUGUUGGUGGGGUGAUGGCCUACCAAGGCGACGACGGGUAGCCGGCCUGAGAGGGUGACCGGCCACACUGGGACUGAGAUACGGCCCAGACUCCUACGGGAGGCAGCAGUGGGGAAUAUUGCACAAUGGGCGCAAGCCUGAUGCAGCGACGCCGCGUGAGGGAUGACGGCCUUCGGGUUGUAAACCUCUUUCAGCACCGACGAAGCGCAAGUGACGGUAGGUGCAGAAGAAGGACCGGCCAACUACGUGCCAGCCGCCGCGGUAA
Molecule: ribosomal RNA, 478 nt
Filed under: uncultured bacterium
Lineage: Bacteria
Description: partial 16S ribosomal RNA
Rfam family: Bacterial small subunit ribosomal RNA
Source: RNAcentral